Molecule: ribosomal RNA, 216 nt
Filed under: Glomeromycotina sp.
Lineage: Eukaryota; Fungi; Glomeromycota
Description: partial small subunit ribosomal RNA
Rfam family: Eukaryotic small subunit ribosomal RNA (bases 40-216)
Source: RNAcentral
GGGUCAGUAGGUUGGUCGUGCCACCGGUACGUACUGGUCUUACUGAUUCCUCCUUCCUGAAGAACCGUAAUGCCAUUAAUUUGGUGUUGCGGGGAAACAGGACUGUUACUUUGAAAAAAUUAGAGUGUUUAAAGCAAGCUAACGCUUGAAUACAUUAGCAUGGAAUAAUGAAAUAGGACGAUCGAUCCUAUUUUGUUGGUUUCUAGGAUUGACGUA